Molecule: ribosomal RNA, 422 nt
Filed under: uncultured bacterium
Lineage: Bacteria
Description: bacterial SSU rRNA
Rfam family: Bacterial small subunit ribosomal RNA
Source: RNAcentral
UAAGGAAUAUUGGACAAUGGAGGCAACUCUGAUCCAGCCAUGCCGCGUGAAGGAAUAAGGCCCUAUGGGUUGUAAACUUCUUUUAGACGGGACAAAACCCCUUUACGUGUAAAGGGUUGAUGGUACUGUCAGAAUAAGCAUCGGCUAACUUCGUGCCAGCAGCCGCGGUAAUACGAAGGAUGCAAGCGUUAUCCGGAAUUAUUGGGUUUAAAGGGUGCGUAGGCGGACUAAUAAGUCAGUGGUGAAAGCCUGCAGCUUAACUGCAGAAUUGCCAUUGAUACUGUUAGUCUUGAGUACAGUUGAGGUAGGCGGAAUGUGUCAUGGAGCGGUGAAAUGCUUAGAUAUGACACAGAACACCGAUUGCGAAGGCAGCUUGCUAAGCUGUAACUGACGCUGAGGCACGAAAGCGUGGGGAGCAAACA